GAUGAACGCUGGCGGCGUGCCUAAUACAUGCAAGUCGAGCGAACAGACGAGGAGCUUGCUCCUCUGACGUUAGCGGCGGACGGGUGAGUAACACGUGGAUAACCUACCUAUAAGACUGGGAUAACUUCGGGAAACCGGAGCUAAUACCGGAUAAUAUAUUGAACCGCAUGGUUCAAUAGUGAAAGACGGUUUUGCUGUCACUUAUAGAUGGAUCCGCGCCGCAUUAGCUAGUUGGUAAGGUAACGGCUUACCAAGGCAACGAUGCGUAGCCGACCUGAGAGGGUCGUCGGCCACACUGGAACUGAGACACGGUCCCGACUCCUACGGGAGGCCGCAGUAGGGAAUCUUCCGCAAUGGGCGAAAGCCUGACGGAGCAACGCCGCGUGAGUGAUGAAGGUCUUCGGAUCGUAAAACUCUGUUAUUAGGGAAGAACAAAUGUGUAAGUAACUAUGCACGUCUUGACGGUACCUAAUCAGAAAGCCACGGCUAACUACGUG
This 497-nucleotide ribosomal RNA is filed under the name uncultured bacterium. Its description in RNAcentral is "partial 16S ribosomal RNA". It matches the Rfam family "Bacterial small subunit ribosomal RNA", at positions 28 to 507 of the family's 1533-position model. The record is from RNAcentral.